GAGCGGCGUACGGGUGCGGAACACGUGUGCACUAGCUUUAUCUGGGGGAUAGCCUUUCGAAAGGAAGAUUAAUACCCCAUAAUAUGUUGAAUGGCAUCAUUCGACAUUGAAAACUCCGGUGGAUAGAGAUGGGCACGCGCAAGAUUAGAUAGUUGGUGAGGUAACGGCUCACCAAGUCUACGAUCUUUAGGGGGGCCUGAGAGGGUGAUCCCCCACACUGGUACUGAGACACGGACCAGACUCCUACGGGAGGCAGCAGUGAGGAAUAUUGGACAAUGGGUGAGAGCCUGAUCCAGCCAUCCCGCGUGAAGGACGACUGCCCUAUGGGUUGUAAACUUCUUUUGUAUAGGGAUAAACCUACCCUCGUGAGGGUAGCAGAAGGUACUAUACGAAUAAGCACCGGCUAACUCCGUGCCAGCAGCCGCGGUAAUACGGAGGGUGCAAGCGUUAUCCGGAUUUAUUGGGUUUAAAGGGUCCGUAGGCGGAUCUGUAAGUCAGUGGUGAAAUCUCACAGUUAAUUGUGAAAUUGCAUUGAUACUGCAGGUCUUGGAGUGUGUGAAGUAAUGGAAUUAGUUAGUGGUAGCGGUGAAAUGUUAGAUU
RNAcentral lists this ribosomal RNA (600 nucleotides) under uncultured bacterium. Its description in RNAcentral is "bacterial SSU rRNA". It matches the Rfam family "Bacterial small subunit ribosomal RNA", at positions 93 to 696 of the family's 1533-position model. The record is from RNAcentral.